GCCAAUUAAAGCCCUUUCGUUUAUAAAUUACCCAGCAUCAGCCAACAUGUCCAUUUCCACCCUCCACCCUCAUUCUCACAUUAAGCUAUGGAGAGGGGGAAUAUUUGUACUUUUUUCAUGGUCUUCCAAAGGAUGGACAUACUACUGCCACGAGAGAAAUUGCUGGUCAGAGAGAAGCAAUUCCUUAGAGAAAGCAACCCACAUAUCAUCACCCAAGAGAGCUGAACCAUUGCCAACAUCUCCAUCAGGAACUUGGAAGAGUUUUCUGUCUUCCCAACACAAUAAAACUGGAGACACGAGCAUGCAGAGCUCCAGCCAGCACAAUUACAUAAAGCCAAAGCACAUUAUCACUUGCAGGCUGCAGGAUUUAUGGCCAACUAUGAUGGAAAAUACAGAGAUACUUUACUUGUCUGAAUUCAACACUCAAAAAAGAUAGUAUGUAUUAUAUUAAUGAUAGAGAAAAGUUGUAUAUAUUGUACUUUUUCUAAUGAAAACCUUAGUAAACAGAGCAGAAACAGAUGCCAGCAUCUUAGAGAAGAAAGAAAAAUGGAAAAGAUUGCCAGUUUGCUCCUCUUCAGACAAUAUGCAAUUGCUGUUCUUGUUGAAAAAUUCCUUUCAAAUGCAUUGAGGCAGCAUUUCUAUUUUGGUGGUUUUCUGCAUUUGAGUUGCUGCUUCUAACUUGAGUGGAACAGAGAAGUUUGUAUUCUCUAUGGGUGUCUGCUGUUCCAAGUAUGAAGCAGUGAAGCUAAAAUCACUUUACUUCUAGAAACCUGUGAUUUCCAUUUGCCAUGAGGUUAGCACUUCCUCUGGCAGUGCCUUUGCCACGAACUGUCAUAGAACCAUGCUGUUUAUCUAGCAUAGCAUUCUUCUUUAUCAUAGCUGCUUACCACUUGUUUCUGCUCUGGAAUGCACCCUGUACGUGCAGGUUAUGUGGUGUCCUGGCCCAGUGCUGGCACACGGUGAGCACUCACAAAAAUAUUGAAGAGCUCUCUUCAGGUUGUAAUUUUAUGUUACCAAUGUUUUUACACAGUUGGUUUGCAUUAUGAGUACACAGUGAGAAGGUAAACCAGUGUGCUGUUUGUCUAUCGUUUCCAAAUUUUGAAUUAUUUAAAUACAUGUUAGUGAAAUCACUGUUUAUCAGAACCAAAAUUGCAAUCUUAAAACUUCUGCAAGAUAGAAAAGAUUGUUUAACAAAGGAAGGAAAAUAUUACAAAAACAGAUUUCUCUCUUAAUUUUGUCAGUGCUUGGACUUGGUCCCCAAAUCUUAAAAGUGAAUUUGUUUCCAGAACACCUGAAACAGAGACCACAUUUUUAUGUUUGCCUUUUUGCAGUGAAGUUUACAUUAGGGAGCUAUAUUUUCCUUAUAUUUAUUUUUAAAUCAUUUGGGCUUUCCAAUAAAAUAGCAUUCUCAUUUUCUUCCCUCUUCCCAGAUUAAUGCAUUUAUUAUUUUAAUGCAUGAAGGGGUCCACGUGGCGCUAUGGUUGGUGGCUGGGAUGCUCUGGAGUGGUGCGCUUGGAAAACAAUGUGUUAUUUGCACUUGAGAAAAUACUUUGUUGGCUAAGUGUCUAGGCACUGAAACAGUAACAGUUCAUCAAAAGACAGUUAUCCCAGAUACGCUUCCAAGAGUGGCAAUCAGUUUUCCUAAAGAGUCAAAGAAAAGAGUGAGAAUUGUGGGAAGUGGGAGACUAGAAGGACAGACUCAUUUGGAAACAGGAAGUGGUUCAAGGAACUUAGGAUUUGGAAUAUAGGAAAAGAAAUGGGGAAACAUACCCAUGCCUUCUCUUCUCUGUAGACAUCCAAUUUGAACCUACUCCAGAUUAGUAGGAAGUAAAAUCAUUAUCUGAUGUUCUGUGGCCACAUGGAAAAUACAUUGGUAGUUGCAACCAGACUAGAGUCAACAUUGAGAAACCAAUAGAACCACUAACUUGGGCUGGUGAGGCACAGCUACUGGUCAAAACCUGCCCAGGAGGCCCAGUACCACUCACAGUCAGGAUCGGGGUCAUGGUAGGGGAAGGUCAGCUAGCUUACUGCAGCCCAUCUCUGAUGGGGAGGUGAGGACUUCCAGCCCUGGGCUGCUCAUUCACCUCCCCUCUGGAGCAGUAAACAGGGAAGUAGCAAGAAGCUAAGCUCCUUUUGUUAGGCAUUGUUAAUUCCUCCAAGGUGACCAUUGAUGUAUUUUUUAUUCAGUAACUUAGCAUAUAUGUGUGUGCACAAUUAAUAGUUAUAUAUAAUAAAAGUGAAUAUAUUAAAAUUUAAAAAAAUAAAUUAUGAUCAUUGCACAAUUCUGUGACUAUACUACAAACCAUUAAAAUGUAUACUUUAAAUGGGUGUUUUUUAUGUUAUUUAUGUGAUUAUGUCUCAAUAAAGAUGUUUUAAAACCAUAAA
Molecule: long non-coding RNA, 2385 nt
Filed under: Homo sapiens (human)
Lineage: Eukaryota; Metazoa; Chordata; Mammalia; Primates; Hominidae
Description: HSALNT0307372
Source: RNAcentral